ACGCCAUGAGGUGCUCAGAAACGGAUCGAUCAACCAGCAGUAGCAAGCGCGGUUGUGCAUCAUGCAUGCAUGUUUGUUCUUCUUUUCUUUUGAUUUGUUGUUGGUCGUUUAAUUUGUCGCCGCCGCCGCCGUCAUGGUUAGUUGCGACGACGAUGGCUGGAUGGAA
This 166-nucleotide non-coding RNA is filed under the name Zea mays. Lineage: Eukaryota; Viridiplantae; Streptophyta; Magnoliopsida; Poales; Poaceae. The record is from RNAcentral.